GAGAGACGCCGGCGGCGUGGAUUAGGCAUGCAAGUCGAACGGUAUCAUCCUUUCGGGGGUGAGAGAGUGGCGAACUGGUGAGUAACACGUAGGUUAUCUACCCUCAAGACGGGACAACCCAGGGAAACUUGGGCUAAUACCGGAUGUGAGCAACUUUUAGUUGUUUGAAAGGUGGCGUAAGCUGUCGCUUGGGGAUGAGCCUGCGUCCUAUUAGUUAGUUGGUGAGGUAACGGCUCACCUAGGCAAUGAUAGGUAGGCGGCCUUAACGGGUGGUCGCCCACACUGGGAUUGAGAUACGGCCCAGACUCCUACGGGAGGCAGCAGUCGAGAAUAGUCUACAAUGGUCGGAAGACUGAUAGUGCGACGCCGCGUGAACGAUGAAUCCCUUCGGGGUGUAAAGUUCUUUUAUAUGUGAGCAGUGCUUCUUAUAUUAACAGUAUGGGGAGAGAGAUAUUAGCAUAUGAAUAAGCAACGGCUAACUCCGUG
RNAcentral lists this ribosomal RNA (486 nucleotides) under uncultured bacterium. RNAcentral's name for it is "bacterial SSU rRNA". It matches the Rfam family "Bacterial small subunit ribosomal RNA", at positions 28 to 507 of the family's 1533-position model. The record is from RNAcentral.